CNCNGGUNGANGAUGUGGAUUAUUCGAUGCAACGCGAAAAACCUUACCUACCCUUGACAUGUCUGGAAUCCUGAAGAGAUUUGGGAGUGCUCGCAAGAGAACCGGAACACAGGUGCUGCAUGGCUGUCGUCAGCUCGUGUCGUGAGAUGUUGGGUUAAGUCCCGCAACGAGCGCAACCCUUGUCAUUAGUUGCUACGAAAGGGCACUCUAAUGAGACUGCCGGUGACAAACCGGAGGAAGGUGGGGAUGACGUCAAGUCCUCAUGGCCCUUAUGGGUAGGGCUUCACACGUCAUACAAUGGUCGGGACAGAGGGUCGCCAACCCGCGAGGGGGAGCCAAUCCCAGAAACCCGAUCGUAGUCCGGAUCGCAGUCUGCAACUCGACUGCGUGAAGUCGGAAUCGCUAGUAAUCGCGGAUCAGCAUGUCGCGGUGAAUACGUCCCCGGGCCUGAACGCGCUCUCUCCUCCGGUGCCCUUCGAGGGGGCAGGAGAGACCGGCUAACAAUUGGGGGCUCGUCCGGGAUUGAUCACCCGGGAGCGGAGGGAGGAAAAAAGA
Molecule: ribosomal RNA, 555 nt
Filed under: Alcaligenes sp. enrichment culture clone MH B209-1A
Lineage: Bacteria; Pseudomonadati; Pseudomonadota; Betaproteobacteria; Burkholderiales; Alcaligenaceae
Description: bacterial SSU rRNA
Rfam family: Bacterial small subunit ribosomal RNA (bases 1-449)
Source: RNAcentral